GAUGAAGAACGCAGCGAAAUGCGAUAAGUAGUGUGAAUUGCAGAAUUCAGUGAAUCAUCGAAUCUUUGAACGCACAUUGCGCCCCUUGGUAUUCCAUGGGGCAUGCCUGUUCGAGCGUCAUUUGUACCCUCAAGCUUUGCUUGGUGUUGGGUGUUUGUCCCGCGUUGCGCGUGGACUCGCCUUAAAGCGAUUGGCAGCCGGCAUAUUGGCCUUGGAGCGCAGCACAUUUUGCGCUUCUAGUCAUGAAUGUUGGCGUCCAUUAAGCCUAUACAUUUGCUCUUGACCUCGGAUCAGGUAGGGAUACCCGCUGAACUUAAGCAUAUAAAUAAGCGGAGGA
Molecule: unclassified non-coding RNA, 337 nt
Filed under: soil metagenome
Description: partial contains 5.8S ribosomal RNA, internal transcribed spacer 2, and large subunit ribosomal RNA
Rfam family: 5.8S ribosomal RNA (bases 1-120)
Source: RNAcentral